CCGGGAGUACGCAAAUUGGCAAAGCGGCGAUCCUCAGAAGGUCGUGAUUUUAUCGGUUCGACGCCGAUCUCCCGGA
Molecule: transfer RNA, 76 nt
Filed under: Patescibacteria group bacterium
Lineage: Bacteria
Description: tRNA-Leu
Source: RNAcentral